GACGAACGCUGGCGGCGUGCUUAACACAUGCAAGUCGAACGGAAAGGCCCUGCUUUUGUGGGGUGCUCGAGUGGCGAACGGGUGAGUAACACGUGAGUAACCUGCCCUUGACUUGGGAUAACUUCAGGAAACUGGGGCUAAUAACGGAAUGGGGCCCCUGCUGCAUGGGGGGGGGUGGGAAGUUUCGGCGGUUGGGGAUGGACUCGCGGCUUAUCAGCUUGUUGGUGGGGUAGUGGCUUACCAAGGCUUUGACGGGUAGCCGGCCUGAGAGGGUGACCGGCCACAUUGGGACUGAGAUACGGCCCAGACUCCUACGGGAGGCAGCAGUGGGGAAUAUUGCACAAUGGGCGGAAGCCUGAUGCAGCAACGCCGCGUGCGGGAUGACGGCCUUCGGGUUGUAAACCGCUUUCGCCUGUGACGAAGCGUGAGUGACGGUAAUGGGUAAAGAAGCACCGGCUAACUACGUG
Molecule: ribosomal RNA, 467 nt
Filed under: uncultured bacterium
Lineage: Bacteria
Description: partial 16S ribosomal RNA
Rfam family: Bacterial small subunit ribosomal RNA
Source: RNAcentral